Molecule: ribosomal RNA, 253 nt
Filed under: uncultured bacterium
Lineage: Bacteria
Description: partial 16S ribosomal RNA
Rfam family: Bacterial small subunit ribosomal RNA
Source: RNAcentral
UACGUAGGGGGCUAGCGUUGUCCGGAAUCAUUGGGCGUAAAGCGCGUGUAGGCGGUCCGGUAAGUCCGCUGUGAAAGUCCGGGGCUCAACCUCGGAUCGGCCGUGGCGACUCGUGGGCUGGAGCACUGUAGAGGCGGGUGGAAUUCCGGGUGUAGCGGUGGAAUGCGUAGAGAUCCGGAAGAACACCAGUGGCGAAGGCGGCCCGCUGGGCAGUGGCUGACGCUGAGGCGCGACAGCGUGGGGAGCAAACAGG